Molecule: ribosomal RNA, 1180 nt
Filed under: Fischerella sp. HKAR-14
Lineage: Bacteria; Bacillati; Cyanobacteriota; Cyanophyceae; Nostocales; Hapalosiphonaceae
Description: bacterial SSU rRNA
Rfam family: Bacterial small subunit ribosomal RNA
Source: RNAcentral
CUUUCGGGGGCAAGUGGCGGACGAGGGAGUAACGCGUGAGAAUCUGGCUCUAGGUUCGGGACAACCACUGGAAACGGUGGCUAAUACCGGAUGUGCCGAGAGGUGAAAGGUUAACUGCCUGGAGAUGAGCUCGCGUCUGAUUAGCUAGUUGGUGGUGUAAGGGACUACCAAGGCGACGAUCAGUAGCUGGUCUGAGAGGAUGAUCAGCCACACUGGAACUGAGACACGGUCCAGACUCCUACGGGAGGCAGCAGUGGGGAAUUUUCCGCAAUGGGCGAAAGCCUGACGGAGCAAUACCGCGUGAGGGAGGAAGGCUCUUGGGUUGUAAACCUCUUUUCUCAGGGAAUAAGCAAGUGAAGGUACCUGAGGAAUCAGCAUCGGCUAACUCCGUGCCAGCAGCCGCGGUAAUACGGAGGAUGCAAGCGUUAUCCGGAAUGAUUGGGCGUAAAGCGUCCGUAGGUAGCAGUGUGUGUCUAUUGUUAAAGAGUUUGGCUUAACCAAAUAAAGGCGGUAGAAACUACACAGCUAGAGUGCGUUCGGGGCAGAGGGAAUUCCUGGUGUAGCGGUGAAAUGCGUAGAGAUCAGGAAGAACACCGGUGGCGAAAGCGCUCUGCUAGGCCGCAACUGACACUGAGGGACGAAAGCUAGGGGAGCGAAUGGGAUUAGAUACCCCAGUAGUCCUAGCCGUAAACGAUGGAUACUAGGCGUUGAGAGUAUCGACCCUCUCAGUGCCGUAGCUAACGCGUUAAGUAUCCCGCCUGGGGAGUACGCACGCAAGUGUGAAACUCAAAGGAAUUGACGGGGGCCCGCACAAGCGGUGGAGUAUGUGGUUUAUUUCGAUGCAACGCGAAGAACCUUACCAGGGCUUGACAUGUCUGGAAUCUUGAGGAAACUCAAGAGUGCCUUCGGGAGCCAGAACACAGGUGUUGCAUGGCUGUCGUCAGCUCGUGUCGUGAAGAUGUUGGGUUAAGUCCCGCAACGAGCGCAACCCUCGUACUUAGUUGCCAGCACUUCGGUGGGCACUUCUAAAGAGAACUGCCGUGAACAACCGAGAGUGGGGAUGACGUCAAGUCAGCAUGCCUUUACGUCUGGCUACCCUCGUACUACAUGCUACGACAAGCAAGGAACUGCAAGUAAGCAAUCUCAAACGUACUCAGUCCGAUCCAGCUGCACUCGCCUU